This is a long non-coding RNA of Xiphias gladius (swordfish), 941 nucleotides long. RefSeq lists it as uncharacterized. Lineage: Eukaryota; Metazoa; Chordata; Actinopteri; Istiophoriformes; Xiphiidae. The record is from RefSeq and is a predicted model, not a curated record. The transcript is spliced from 3 exons.
AUUUUAGGGCAUCCAUCCCGAGGUGUGUCUGCUCUCCGGCAGGUGGAUUUCCCCAGUCACCGGACCACGGGGAGAGGCUGGAGCUAGAAGGCAUCUGGUGGGCGGGCCUGUCUUGGAAGCAGGAGGUGACCUUGGCCAACGAUUUCCAGGUCAAUCCAGUGACACGUCAGCUCAUGGAUUUGUUUAUUUCCAUAAAACCUGACUAAAUCUUCAACCAAGUACAAAGCCAGCACUGGAGGACCUCAUACACCAUCUAUUUCAAAGACUGGGAAAACUGUCCCUUUGUAUCCCCCUGCUGCUUCUGCUGCUGGUAUCUCUCUUCCCUCCUGCUCUUCUCCUUUUCCUCCUCCCCCCUCUUGUCUUCCUUCCAUUUCUGAGGCACACAAGUUGUCGUGGGACUGGGUCUGCAAGUGUCCCAGGGACUCCACUGACAAGCUUCGGCUAGACAGGAUGCUACUUAGGCUGGACUGGCGGGCACCUCUGGGAUGGGUCUCAAUUUCCACACGGACCUCAAUAUUGGUUCCUUCCCUGCAGUGACAAGAGACAAAUGUAGAGAAAGAAAAAGCAAAAUCCUUCCUAAAAGAGACGUUAUAAACGAGGAAAUCCAGAGGCAACAUCUACCUCGAAGGAAGCGCUUGUGUGUCAUCGAGCUUGCUGUCAGGCACAAUAACCACCUCGCAGUCCGAAGGGCUGUCCUGCUGGGUAUAUUCAUGGCGUUUUGUGGCUUCAUCCAAUCCCACAUAGCUAUCUAGCUCUUGGGGUGUGGUGCUCGUACCUGGGAGGACACCCACUUCCUGUACACUGACUCUGACUUCCUGGACGCUAGUGUUGCUGAGCGUCGGGUUGUUCUGACCCGUCCAGUGGUCACUGACUACAUGAGAGAAUAGAAGAUCUAUAAGAAAAGUUGAAACUUCAUCAGAUUAGGCCGUGUUUUGGAGCAA